UUACAUUUCAGUGAAAAGUUUUUAAAAUGU
Molecule: non-coding RNA, 30 nt
Filed under: Mus musculus (house mouse)
Lineage: Eukaryota; Metazoa; Chordata; Mammalia; Rodentia; Muridae
Source: RNAcentral